This 313-nucleotide ribosomal RNA is filed under the name uncultured bacterium. Its description in RNAcentral is "bacterial SSU rRNA". It matches the Rfam family "Bacterial small subunit ribosomal RNA", at positions 32 to 324 of the family's 1533-position model. The record is from RNAcentral.
AAUCAACGCUGGCGGCGUGCCUCAGACAUGCAAGUCGAACGAGAAAGUUCCCUUCGGGGAAUGAGUAAAGUGGCGCACGGGUGAGUAACACGUAGGUAAUCUACCUUCGGGUGGGGAAUAACCCAGGGAAACUUGGGCUAACACCGCAUAAUGCAGCGGCACCACAUGGUGACAGUUGUUAAAGCGGGGGAUUUUAGGACCUCGCGCCUGAAGAGGAGCCUGCGGCGGAUUAGCUAGUUGGUAAGGUAACGGCUUACCAAGGCGACGAUCCGUAACCGGCCUGAGAGGGCGGUCGGUCACACUGACACUGACA